CGGGUGAGUAACGCGUGAGUAACCUGCCUUACACAAGGGGAUAGCCAUUGGAAACGACGAAUAAUACCCUAUGACAUAAACUCUUCGCAUGAAGAGCUUAUCAAAGAUUUAUCGGUGUAAGAUGGACUCGCGUCUGAUUAGCUAGUUGGUGAGGUAACGGCCCACCAAGGCAACGAUCAGUAGCCGGCUUGAGAGAGUGUACGGCCACAUUGGGACUGAGACACGGCCCAGACUCCUACGGGAGGCAGCAGGC
RNAcentral lists this ribosomal RNA (253 nucleotides) under uncultured Anaerococcus sp. RNAcentral's name for it is "partial 16S ribosomal RNA". It matches the Rfam family "Bacterial small subunit ribosomal RNA", at positions 103 to 354 of the family's 1533-position model. Lineage: Bacteria; Bacillati; Bacillota; Tissierellia; Tissierellales; Peptoniphilaceae. The record is from RNAcentral.